This is a long non-coding RNA of Esox lucius (northern pike), 1031 nucleotides long. The record is from Ensembl. Lineage: Eukaryota; Metazoa; Chordata; Actinopteri; Esociformes; Esocidae.
CGAGCACUUUAACUUCCAGUUGGAGUCAGCGAUAUGAUGUAGACGCACUAGGUAAACCACUUGGCAUGUCCCCUUCUGUAAUGACUGGCAGCGUUGGUUCGUGUGGCUAAUAUUCUGCCCUUUUGGCGUACCACCUUAAGCGUGAAGUAAAUCUGCAGAUAUCUUUCGUGAGGUCUUGUUUAUCGCUCUAUCUGCAGCGCUGUUCUUGCAACGUCAUUUCGCUGACUCUACAUUUAAUUCAUAGCAUUUCGGUCCCUUCUCCUGAAAACACGCUUUCCAAUGUAAAGAUACUCAACGUAGUGGUGAAAUUGAACUCCCUUUUCAACUUUGCGGAGGCAAAUGUAAUCUGCCGAUCUCUGAAAGCGCUUAGGCCUAAUUGCUUAAUGACACAAAUCCCAUCUCUCAACCACCACAUGCUAUACCUUGACUAUAAUGUCCUCUAUCGUGCUUGUAAAUAAUACAAAGUGAUGUUUUGGCUUAUUUUACCAUGUCCUCCUGAAGUACACAAGUGAGCCCUGCUGUUCUUAGCCCCUCUGCUUUUUGUAGGUCGUUAGACCCAUGAUCUGCUGAUAGGUGUUGUGGGGACAGUGUAGGAGACUGCUGUGCCUAGGCCACUUUGAGCUGGAUGUACGGAAGUGGAGUUCUGCUUAAGCAAUGGAAUCGUUUCAUGUGGGGUGAUUUGACUUGAAUAUAGUGCAGGGUCGGCAGCUGGUCCUAAAUUCCUGGUGGUCCUGAAGCCCUGACCCGGCUUGUCAGGAUUGUAUGCUGUGAAUGGCUUCCACGGCCACCCGGUCAGAUGGAUCUGUAUGUAGGAGCUGCAGUAGCACGCCGUCAGUGAAGGCUUUGAGCGAGCCCAUCUCGAAGAAAGAUCACUGACUACCACAUGACAGUAGUUAUCUCCUGACCAAAUAGGUUUUCUCAAGUUCAUUUGGUUACAUUGACCUUUGACAUUUGACUCAUGUGUUUGUGUUAUCAUGCUGCAAUGCAAAGACAUUACAACUCAAAAGCACUGUAUUAAAAUAUUGCAUUUG